GAUGAACGCUAGCGGGAGGCCUAACACAUGCAAGCCGAGCGGUAUUGUUUCUUCGGAAAUGAGAGAGCGGCGUACGGGUGCGUAACACGUGUGCAACCUGCCUUUAUCUGGGGGAUAGCCUUUCGAAAGGAAGAUUAAUACUCCAUAAUAUAUUGAACGGCAUCGUUUAAUAUUGAAAGCUCCGGCGGAUAGAGAUGGGCACGCGCAAGAUUAGCUAGUUGGUGAGGUAACGGCUCACCAAGGCGAUGAUCUUUAGGGGGCCUGAGAGGGUGAUCCCCCACACUGGUACUGAGACACGGACCAGACUCCUACGGGAGGCAGCAGCGAGGAAUAUCGGUCAAUGGGUGCAAGCCUGAACCAGCCAUCCCGCGUGAAGGACGACUGCCCUAUGGGUUGUAAACUUCUUUUGUAUAGGGAUAAACCUACCCUCGAGAGGGUAGCUGAAGGUACUAUACGAAUAAGCACCGGCUAACUCCGUGCCAGCAGCCGCCGUAA
Molecule: ribosomal RNA, 495 nt
Filed under: uncultured bacterium
Lineage: Bacteria
Description: partial 16S ribosomal RNA
Rfam family: Bacterial small subunit ribosomal RNA
Source: RNAcentral